GAACGAGGUAGCAAUACCUAGUGACAGACGGGUGAGUAACACGUGGUCAACCUUCCGUAUCGUGGGGGAUAACUAGCCGAAAGGUUAGCUAAUACCGCAUACGAUCUUCGAGCGGCAUCGCACGAAGAUGAAAGGAGCAAUCCGCGCAACGACGGGACCGCGUCCCAUUAGCUUGAUGGUGGGGUAAUGGCCUACCAUGGCAACGAUGGGUAGCUGGUUUGAGAGAGCGACCAGCCACACUGGGACUGAGAAACGGCCCAGACUCCUACGGGAGGCAGCAGUGAGGGAUUUUCCGCAAUGGGCGAAAGCCUGACGGAGCGACGCCGCGUGUGGGAAGAAGGCCUUCGGGUCGUAAACCACUGUCGAAGGGGAAGAUAAUGACGGUACCCUUGGAGGAAGCCCCGGCUAACUACGUGCCAGCAGCCGCGGUAAU
RNAcentral lists this ribosomal RNA (433 nucleotides) under uncultured bacterium. Its description in RNAcentral is "bacterial SSU rRNA". It matches the Rfam family "Bacterial small subunit ribosomal RNA", at positions 64 to 524 of the family's 1533-position model. The record is from RNAcentral.